RNAcentral lists this ribosomal RNA (850 nucleotides) under Ptychocheilus grandis (Sacramento pikeminnow). Its description in RNAcentral is "partial 16S ribosomal RNA". It matches the Rfam family "Bacterial large subunit ribosomal RNA", at positions 617 to 2006 of the family's 2925-position model. The record is from RNAcentral. Lineage: Eukaryota; Metazoa; Chordata; Actinopteri; Cypriniformes; Leuciscidae.
GAUUUAGCCAGCACCCUCAAGCAAAGAGACCUUUAGUUUGAAGCCCCGAAACCAGGUGAGCUACCCCGAGACAGCCUAUAUUAUUUAGGGCUAACCCGUCUCUGUGGCAAAAGAGUGGGAAGAGCUCCGGGUAGAAGUGACAGACCUACCGAACCUGGUGAUAGCUGGUUGUCUGAGAAAUGGAUAGAAGUUCAGCCUCAUGCGCCCCAAAUCAAUAUGUAAAUUAUUAAGAUCCUCAAGGGAGAUAUAUGAGAGUUAGUUAAGAGGGGUACAGCCCUUUUAACAAAGGAUACAACCUUUACAGGAGGAUAAAGAUCAUAAUAUAUAAAACAUACUGUUUUAGUGGGCCUAAAAGCAGCCAUCUAAAUAGAAAGCGUUAAAGCUCAGACAGAAAGAAGUUUAUUAUACCGAUAAGGAAUCUUAUUCCCCUAAUUAUAUCAGAUCAACCCAUGCCCACAUGGAAGAGAUUAUGCUAGAAUGAGUAACAAGAAGACCUGCGCUUCUCCUUGCACAAGUGUAAACCAGCUCGGACAAACCACUGGAAAUUAACGAACCCAACCCAAGAGGGCAAUGUGAACAACAAAAAUCUCAAGAAGAAUUCACAAUUGAACUAAUCGUUAACCCCACACUGGAGUGCUAUUUUAUAAAGGAAAGACUAAAAGAUAGGGAAGGAACUCGGCAAACACAAGCCUCGCCUGUUUACCAAAAACAUCGCCUCCUGCAACUAAAUUGAGUAUAGGAGGUCCAGCCUGCCCAGUGACUACGGGUUCAACGGCCGCGGUAUUUUGACCGUGCAAAGGUAGCGCAAUCACUUGUCUCUUAAAUAGAGACCUGUAUGAAUGGCUAGACG